RNAcentral lists this ribosomal RNA (497 nucleotides) under uncultured bacterium. Its description in RNAcentral is "partial 16S ribosomal RNA". It matches the Rfam family "Bacterial small subunit ribosomal RNA", at positions 28 to 507 of the family's 1533-position model. The record is from RNAcentral.
GAUGAACGCUGGCGGCGUGCCUAAUACAUGCAAGUCGAGCGAACAGACGAGGAGCCUGCUCCUCUGACGUUAGCGGCGGACGGGUGAGUAACACGUGGAUAACCUACCUAUAAGACUGGGAUAACUUCGGGAAACCGGAGCUAAUACCGGAUAAUAUAUUGAACCGCAUGGUUCAAUAGUGAAAGACGGUUUUGCUGUCACUUAUAGAUGGAUCCGCGCCGCAUUAGCUAGUUGGUAAGGUAACGGCUUACCAAGGCAACGAUGCGUAGCCGACCUGAGAGGGUGAUCGGCCACACUGGAACUGAGACACGGUCCAGACUCCUACGGGAGGCAGCAGUAGGGAAUCUUCCGCAAUGGGCGAAAGCUUGACGGAGCAACGCCGCGUGAGUGAUGAAGGUCUUCGGAUCGUAAAACUCUGUUAUUAGGGAAGAACAAAUGUGUAAGUAACUAUGCACGUCUUGACGGUACCUAAGCAGAAAGCCACGGCUAACUACGUG